Danio rerio (zebrafish) is the source of this 116-nucleotide ribosomal RNA. Lineage: Eukaryota; Metazoa; Chordata; Actinopteri; Cypriniformes; Danionidae. The record is from Ensembl.
AGCCACAACUAUAUCACCCAGCAGCCCAAGACGGUUACUCACUGAAGCUAAGCAGGGCUAAGCCUGGCCAGUACCUGGAUGGGAGUCCACAUAAGAAAACUAGGUUGGUGUUGGAA